GUGGGCUGAGCCCUCUGAAAGGGCCGCCUUGGAGACCCGCUUCGCGGCACCGCUCGCCGCAGAUCCGGACGCUGCGCCGCAUGCCUUCACCUAGCCCUCUUGACUGGGCCUGGCCCGCCCGCGAGCCCCGUUCUGCAUAUCUCGACCGGCCGUCCCCGCUGGCUCAGGUCUCCGAGACCCAGGCGACAGACAGUACAGAUGGUCCGUGCCAUGCCGCUGCUGAUCCUCCGUGCGCUGCCCAGAGACCCCCAUCAGCGUCAUGGACUCUGCUUCCCUUCCAGGCUGAGCGGCCGUGCAAGCUCCAUAUUUGUGGCUUCCCCGAUAAUCUCCCAGACUUCACUGGAGCUGACCCUCGGCCUCUCAGCCUUUCCUGAGCCACCUCAGUUCUGAAAUGGCAGCGUUUUGCCAGAUAACGGGGUACAGAGCCUAAGUUGAACACCCUCACAACCUUGGUGAGAGAACUACUGAAGAAUGUGUUUCAGAAGGAAGGACACGGAACCCAGAAGAAAGGAGAGAGUUUCAAGAAACAGUGACUGGAAGUCCAAGAUCAAGAUGUCAGUAGGGUUGGGUUUUGAUGAAACCUCCCUGAAUUAUAGGCAGCCUUCCGUCUGUGUCCCAAACACUGCCUUUUCACUGUGACUGUUUGAAGGCCAUCUCUGCUGUCUCUUCCUUUUCUUAUGAGGAUACUAGACUUAGGCCCAACACUUAAGACCUCAUUUAACCUUAAUCACCUCCCUAAACACCCAACAUCUAAAUGCAGUCCCAUUAAGGAUUAGGGCCUGAUAAAUGCAUUUGGCAGUAAGGACACAAUUCAGUUCAUGCUGCUGCUGCUGGUGCUGAGUUGCAUCAGUCGUGUCCGACUCUGUGCGACCCCGUAGACGGCAGCCCACCAGGCUCCCCCAUCCCUGGGAUUCUCCAGGCCAGAACACUGGAGUGGGUGGCCAUUUCCUUCUCCAAUGCAUGAAAGGAAAAGUGAAAGUGAAAUCACUCAGCUGUGUCUGACUCUUAGACCCCAUAGACUGCAACCUACCAGGCUCCUCCGUUCAUAGCACUCAGUAAAUAUCAAAGAAGUUAUCAGUACUUAAAAAACUUCCCACAAAGAAAAUGCCAUAGGAGAUAUAGGAGAUACCAUAUCAAAUACUCAUGAAGCAAAUCAUUGUGAUCAUGUUCAAAAUCUUUCCAAAGACAAUGUAAAACCCUCUCAAGUGCAUUUUAGGAGACUAGUCUUACCUAAUAGCAAAUCCAGAUAAGAACAGGACAAAAAUAGGAAAUUACAGACUAGCCUCUCUCAUGAGCAUAGGCAAAAAAAAAAAUCUGAACUAAUACUAAAUUCAAUCCAGCAGUUACAAAAUAUCAUAGCCAAUUUGAAUCUAUUAACAAUAUGUUAAUGUUUCAGCUGCAUUAAUUUAAUUAGCCAUAUUAAUAGAUUACUGGAAAAAAUAUGUUUCUCACAAAAUAUACAAAAAAUUUUAGUUAAAAUUCAGCAUUCAUUCAUCUCUAGCACACCAAGAAUAUUAGUGAAAUACCUUUAUCUGAUAAAGGAUUUCUACCAAAAACUUUCAGUAAGUAUCAUUCUUAAUGGUGAUGUGUUAGAGGCAUUCUCUUAAAAAUCAAAAAUGCCUCCAUCAUAGCUCUACUCUUUGGAGUAGUCAGGACAAUGUUUUUUAUUUUUAUGCUGACCCAGUGGAUUUUAUAAUUUUUAAAAUAAGAAAGCCUAGCAAGUUAAGUGACUCUAUCAAUCAAUAAGUACCUUAAAACUUAAACAACUUAAAACUCUAUUUAAAGUACUGUUUACACUAGCAGCAAAAAAUGUUAUUUAGAGAAGGUAUUUGAAAAAAGAAGUGAAGAUCUUCAUAGGGAAAUGAAAGGUAUUGAGAAAGACCCAAAUAAAUGAAGAUAUUCCCAUGUUCACUGAGGAGUCCCAAUUGCAGAUUCAAAUACCUCAAAAUGAAUCAUAAACAAAUAUUAAGAGGGUUUUGGUGGAAUGAAGAGUCAAUUCUAAAAUCGAGAGUUGAUUCUAAAAUGUGCAUGAACAAACAAAUGGCCAACAAUUACCCUAAGAAAAAUUCGAUGGGUGAUUUACCUUGUACUAUCAAGGCUCGCUCUGGCUCUCUGUGUAUGUUAGGCUAGGUAUAAUAAUUGAACCCUGUGUGUAUCAGAUUAUAACAAACCCCGCCAAAUCUUAUCAGCUGAAAAGCACAAACUUUAUUUCACUCAUAUAUCUCACUGUUGCACAAAUACCUGUCCAUCCCAGAUUCCCAAGAGGGAGCAGCACUUCUCACUUACUCAGCUACUAGGCUGUUAGUUCUGCUUAAGUCACACCUGGAUUCUUAAAAAUUCUGUUCAGAAGUGGCACAUGUAACUUCUAUUAAUGUUUCCUCGGUAGAAUCAAGUCCAAGUCUGCCAUGAAUAUGGCAGGGAAGCAAUCCUCUACAAGAGGAAGGGACAGUGAAAAACAGUAAUACAAUCACUCACAUGAUAAUAAUUCAGACAGUGUGGUAUCAACACUUUGGAUAUAAACCAAUAGUUGGAUAAAGGUAAUAGAACAGAGAGCACAGAACCAGGCCCACAACUUAUGGAUUUUGAACACAUCAGAGGUGAUGUGUAAAUCAUGAGGGAAAAAAUAGAACAGACAGCAAACGAUGUGGGGACAAUUUGCGCUAUAUAUGGGAAACAUGAAAUCAGAUCCGUACCAAGAAUCAUGCUUAUAAAUUAAUUCCAGGUAGAUUCAAGAUGUCAGUGUGAAAGGCAGAUCUUUAAAACUUUUAAGAUUAAACCUCUUUCACCUUAACAAAGAAGAAUUUCUUGAAUAAGAUACAAGCUGUGCAAAACUUAACAGCUUCUGAAAAGUGACAAAUUCAACUAAAUUAUAAUCAAGA
Long non-coding RNA from Dama dama (fallow deer), 2879 nucleotides. RefSeq lists it as uncharacterized. NCBI's taxonomy places the organism in Eukaryota, Metazoa, Chordata, Mammalia, Artiodactyla, Cervidae. The transcript has 3 exons. The record is from RefSeq and is a predicted model, not a curated record.